Molecule: unclassified non-coding RNA, 292 nt
Filed under: plant metagenome
Description: partial contains small subunit ribosomal RNA, internal transcribed spacer 1, and 5.8S ribosomal RNA
Source: RNAcentral
UUUCCGUAGGUGAACCUGCGGAAGGAUCAUUAUUCAAUAAACCUGAUGUGGUUGUAGCUGGCCCUUUCUGGAGCAUGUGGACACCCGUCGUCUUUAUCUUUCCACCUGUGCACCUUUUGUAGACCUGGAUGUAACACUUUCCGAGGCAACUCGGUCGGGAGGAAUGCUGUCAGCUUUCCUUGAAUGUCCAGGCCUAUGUUUUCAUAUACCCCAAAGAAUGUAACAGAAUGUAUUAUUGGGCUUUGUGCCUAUAAACUAUAUACAACUUUCAGCAACGGAUCUCUUGGCUCUC